GGGUAAUUUCACAAUGCUCAAAGCAGGAGCAGGAGCAGAAGCAGGUGGUGUGAGAAAAAUGCAUCUUUCUGCCAUGAACGAUCCCUCAGAGAAAAGAAACUGGAACAGCGCGUCAAACAGCAUACACAGAUGAUGAAAGCUAGAGGAGAAAAAUUAAACGGAACAUCCCAAGUGGAAACGAAGAAAGCAAAACAAGACAUCAAGGCAGUUGAAGAUCUACAGACCAAGCUUGCAACACCAGAGGAGGACUCCCUCUCCAGGAGUAUCAUCUCACGGCCUUCACAGGGGAGUUUCCACCUGCCUCACCAAGAAUGCAAACUCAAAAGAUCCUUUCCAGUAGCAAAUUCCGAUCGCCUGGAAUUGUUAAAGUAUGAAAUGUUUACUUCAUAAGAAUGAGAAUUACAAAACCCUUCCCUUCUCACUUAGUCUUCCUGACUGCAUUUGACAAUUUUAAACGUAUAAUGAUAAUCCAUCUGCUCCGACUGUAAAAUCUGUCUCACUUAGAAUAUUUGCGGUACGGUGUUGUAAAGGGUUUUCUUCAGCCUCUCCGCAUGUUCUGCUCAAGCACGCUUCUAUAGGCUUACAAAAAUCCUAUGAAAAUAAAAUUCAAAAAUUAUCUUUAAGGUUUGGAGCAGCCAUUUGCAAUUUUACUAAAUAUGAGGAAACGUGUACUCUCAGUUAACUAAUUUCAUGAAAAACACAUCUCUGGCCUUGCACUGUAUGUCCUGCUCAUAUCGCACCAGUCUGGGCUUUCA
Phalacrocorax carbo (great cormorant) is the source of this 755-nucleotide non-coding RNA. Lineage: Eukaryota; Metazoa; Chordata; Aves; Suliformes; Phalacrocoracidae. The record is from RefSeq and is a predicted model, not a curated record.